This 427-nucleotide ribosomal RNA is filed under the name uncultured bacterium. RNAcentral's name for it is "bacterial SSU rRNA". It matches the Rfam family "Bacterial small subunit ribosomal RNA", at positions 355 to 774 of the family's 1533-position model. The record is from RNAcentral.
UGGGGAAUUUUGGACAAUGGGCGCAAGCCUGAUCCAGCCAUGCCGCGUGCAGGAUGAAGGCCUUCGGGUUGUAAACUGCUUUUGUACGGAACGGAAAGACUCUGGUUGAUACCUGGGGUCCAUGACGGUACCGUAAGAAUAAGCACCGGCUAACUACGUGCCAGCAGCCGCGGUAAUACGUAGGGUGCGAGCGUUAAUCGGAAUUACUGGGCGGAAAGCGUGCGCAGGCGGUUAUGUAAGACAGAUGUGAAAUCCCCGGGCUCAACCUGGGAACUGCAUUUGUUACUGCAUAGCUAGAGUACGGCAGAGGGGUGUGGAAUUCCGCGUGUAGCAGUGAAGUGCGUAGAUAUGCGGAGGAACACCGAUGGCGAAGGCAAUCCCCUGGGCCUGUACUGACGCUCAUGCACGAAAGCGUGGGGAGCAAACA